GGUUGAUCCUGCCAGUAGUCAUAUGCUUGUCCCUAAGAUUAAGCCAUGCAUGUGUUAGUACAGCCAUUACAAUCAUGGCAAAACUGCGAAUGGCUCAUUACAUCAGUUAUAAUUUACAUAUCUCAAUCACUAUCAUACAUGGAUAUCCGUGGUAAUUCUAGAGCUAAUACAUGCACCAACAAUAACAGUAUUUAUUAGAUCUGAUGAUUCAUGAUAAUCUCUUUAGACUAUUUUCACAUAACGACAAUAGCAUCUUAUUCAAAUUUCUGUCCUAUUAACUAGAUGGUACAAUA
Molecule: ribosomal RNA, 293 nt
Filed under: uncultured eukaryote
Lineage: Eukaryota
Description: partial 18S ribosomal RNA
Rfam family: Eukaryotic small subunit ribosomal RNA
Source: RNAcentral